UUCGGGGGGCCGUGAGACAGGUGCUGCGUGGGUGUCCUCCUCUCGUGUCGAGAUAUGGUGGGUUAACUCCCACCACGAGCGCAACCCCUAGGGAUAUGUGCCAACUUAUAAUGUUGGGCACUCUAUUCUGACUGCCCGGGUUAACCGGGAGGAAGGUGGGGACGACGUCAAGUCAUCAUGGCCCUUACACCUAGGGCUACACACGUACUACAAUGGCGCGCACAAAGGGGAGCGAGACCGCGAGGUGGAACCAAUCCCAAAAAACGCGUCCCAGUCCGGAUUGCAGUCUGCAACUCGACUGCAUGAAGUUGGAAUCACUAGUAAUUCAAGAUCAUCAUGCUCGGAUGAAUGCGUUCCCGGGCCUU
RNAcentral lists this ribosomal RNA (365 nucleotides) under uncultured bacterium. Its description in RNAcentral is "bacterial SSU rRNA". It matches the Rfam family "Bacterial small subunit ribosomal RNA", at positions 1018 to 1382 of the family's 1533-position model. The record is from RNAcentral.